CCUACGGGUGGCAGCAGUGAGGAAUAUUGGUCAAUGGGCUUACGCCUGAACCAGCCAAGUCGCGUGCGGGAAGACUGCCCUAUGGGUUGUAAACCUCUUUUGUCAGGGAGUAACGCCGGCUACGCGUAGCCGGACUGAGAGUACCUGCAGAUAAAGCACCGGCAAACUCCGUGCCAGCAGCCGCGGUAAUACGGAGGAUGAGAGCGUUAUCCGGUUUUAUGGGGUUUAAGGGGUGCGUAGGCGGAAUGCCAAGUCAGCGGUAAAAUCGGGGGGCUCAACCUCGCUCCGCCGUUGAAACUGUCGUUCUUGAGUGGGCGUGAAGUAUGCGGAAUGCAUGGUGUAGCGGUGAAAUGCAUAGAGAUCAUACAGAACUCCGAUUGCGAAGGCAGCAUACCGGCGCCCGACUGACGCUGAAGCACGAAAGCGUGGGUAGCGAACAGGAUUAGAUACCCGAGUAGUC
RNAcentral lists this ribosomal RNA (460 nucleotides) under uncultured bacterium. RNAcentral's name for it is "partial 16S ribosomal RNA". It matches the Rfam family "Bacterial small subunit ribosomal RNA", at positions 338 to 795 of the family's 1533-position model. The record is from RNAcentral.